GUGGGGAAUCUUCCGCAAUGGACGAAAGUCUGACGGAGCAACGCCGCGUGAGUGAAGAAGGUUUUCGGAUCGUAAAGCUCUUUCGUUAGGGACGAACGUGCUCUUUGUGAAUACUGAGGAGUAAUGACGGUACCUAAAUAAGAAGCCACGGCUAACUACGUGCCAGCAGCCGCGGUAAUACGUAGGUGGCAAGCGUUGUCCGGAAUUAUUGGGCGUAAAGCGCGCGCAAGCGGGAUAUCAAGUCUGUCUUAAAAGUGCGAGGCUCAACCGCGUUAGGGGACAGAAACUGGUAUUCUUGAGUGUCGGAGAGGAAAGUGGAAUUCCAAGUGUAGCGGUGAAAUGCGUAGAGAUUUGGAAGAACACCAGUGGCGAAGGCGACUUUCUGGACGAUGUCUGACGCUGAGGCGCGAAAGCUAGGGGAGCGAACGGGAUUAGAAACCCCAGUAGUCC
RNAcentral lists this ribosomal RNA (450 nucleotides) under uncultured bacterium. Its description in RNAcentral is "partial 16S ribosomal RNA". It matches the Rfam family "Bacterial small subunit ribosomal RNA", at positions 354 to 796 of the family's 1533-position model. The record is from RNAcentral.